This is a long non-coding RNA of Rhipicephalus sanguineus (brown dog tick), 686 nucleotides long. RefSeq lists it as uncharacterized. NCBI's taxonomy places the organism in Eukaryota, Metazoa, Arthropoda, Arachnida, Ixodida, Ixodidae. The transcript has 9 exons. The record is from RefSeq and is a predicted model, not a curated record.
UGCCACCAGGCCAGGACUGCAAGGUGAAGACUGCGCCGGAAUACGGGUACGGGGACCAAGCCUACAUUUUGCCCCAUCCAAUUGCGUUUGCUCUUUUGGCGAGUCAUAGACUUGCUGUAUGUGUGGCACGAGGUGACCGGCCUGCUGGUGGGGUACCUAUCCAUGAGCCUUCCUGAACACCCUGUGCCAGCAGGCCAGUUGCUGUUCGUGUAGCAGGAGGAGGUGACAGGCCUACAGGUGGGCCACCUGUCCGUACUGAUUUUCAUACUGCAAUCGGGGGUGCUAUCCGACCACCGGCUUGGUGAAGGCCUCGCCUGCCCAUAUGCGACACUGGACACCUGGUGCCGCAAGGCCAGGUACCCGUUGCCGACAUGGGAGGGCCGACUGACGGCAUCACUGACGACAACAAAGGACUGCAAGGUGAAAACUGCGCCGGAAUACGGAUACGGGGACUGAGCCUACAUUUUGCCCCAUCCAAUUGCGUUUGCUCUUUUGGCGAGGCAUAGACGUACUCGACAUCCCGCCAGAGGAGCAAGACCGCAUCCGCAGCUCCACCACCGGCCUCACACCGUCAGCUCUGGCUGCAACUUGCUGUACGUGUGGCACGAGGUGACCGGCCUGCUGGCAGGCUACCUAUCCGUGAGCCAUCCUGAACACCCUGUGCCAGCAGGCCAGACGUACUCGAC